UCGUUUGUUUAUGUGUUACAUAUUUGUUGUUCGUUCAUUUUUUGUACAUAAAUAAGGCCGCUUGUUUUCUGGUUUGAAUUGUUUUACAUUGUCAGUUCGGGGCUUUUUAAAGCUGAGUAUGCGGUAUGGGCUUUGCUCGUUGUUGAAGGUCGUACGGUGACCUAUAGUUGUUAAUUUCUGUGUCAUAUUGGUCUCUUAUGGAGAGUUGUCUCAACAUGGCAAUCAUACCACAUCUUCUUUUUUUUUGUAAUCAAUGAAUUUUGUAAAAGAUUUAAUGACUGGAGAAUUUCAGAAAAGGUAUCAAAAGUUCACAUGAAUAUUUUUA
This 325-nucleotide long non-coding RNA is filed under the name Mytilus galloprovincialis (Mediterranean mussel). Lineage: Eukaryota; Metazoa; Mollusca; Bivalvia; Mytilida; Mytilidae. The record is from RNAcentral.